This 253-nucleotide ribosomal RNA is filed under the name uncultured bacterium. Its description in RNAcentral is "partial 16S ribosomal RNA". It matches the Rfam family "Bacterial small subunit ribosomal RNA", at positions 524 to 776 of the family's 1533-position model. The record is from RNAcentral.
UACGUAGGGUGCAAGCGUUGUCCGGAAUUAUUGGGCGUAAAGAGCUCGUAGGUGGCCUGUCGCGUCGGCUGUGAAAACUCGGGGCUCAACUCCGAGCUUGCAGUCGAUACGGGCAGGCUAGAGUUCGGCAAGGGAGACUGGAAUUCCUGGUGUAGCGGUGAAAUGCGCAGAUAUCAGGAGGAACACCGGUGGCGAAGGCGGGUCUCUGGGCCGAUACUGACACUGAGGAGCGAAAGCGUGGGGAGCGAACAGG